This is a long non-coding RNA of Siniperca chuatsi (mandarin fish), 870 nucleotides long. RefSeq lists it as uncharacterized. Lineage: Eukaryota; Metazoa; Chordata; Actinopteri; Centrarchiformes; Sinipercidae. The record is from RefSeq and is a predicted model, not a curated record. The transcript is spliced from 3 exons.
AUUGCAGUUCUUGUUGUUGAGCAGCAUGUUGCUGCUUAGCCAUGGGAGGCGGGAAAUGAGUUGGAAGCCAGUCCUUUUAAUUAUCCUUCAAAUGCUUCCUGUGCUCAGCAGAUGUUGGGCUGCGGGGCAGGCAGCCGAGCAGCAGGGCUCCCUAACACUGCACACACACAUCAGGACUUGGCUGCUGACUCCCCUGCUCCUCGGGCUGGGUGCCUCUGAGUCACCCUUGGCCUUCAGCACAAAUCUACCUCCUCAUCGCUAAUCAGCUCCUUGUGUCUUAUGACGGCGGCAUCCAGUGUGGAGAUGUCGAGUGUGGAAAAAGGGUCCAGGCGGCGAGCACGGCUCCGACUUUCUGCCUUCAGCCUAAUGCUGAAUGACAGAUAGUAAAAGCGGAGGAACCCUGAAGAGUCAAUUUGGAGCUGGAGUGGCAUUUCAAACCCCGCUGCUAAAAUGUUAGAGAGAGGGGGAAAAAAACGUUCAAUCAGACACCAAACUCGGCUCUGGGAGCUCUUCACUCAGAAAAGCAAAGCAGCUUUCACUGAGAUGGUGUUCAGAGGCUGAACAUGAUGAUAUGCCUCACAGAACCGUUGUUGAAUGAGACUGCCACUGACGCCUUUGUCAGAUUGGUGACAAUCAUUGAAUUUGAAUAGUGUAUGUGCACAUGUGUAAAUGCAUUUGCACAUUUAUUCAUUCAUUCGUUUGCAAAAGGAUUCUUGUGUUGAUAUAUUCAUAGGUCUUUGAACGUGAACACAUUUUUGUAUUGAUACAAUGUGUAUGUAUGUGUGUACUUUGAAUUUGCCUUUAGAUCUUAAAUCAGUAGCUGAUUAAUAAAUUAGUCGAUCAACAGAAAAUGAAUCUGCAGCUGCAUCG